This 264-nucleotide ribosomal RNA is filed under the name uncultured archaeon. RNAcentral's name for it is "partial 16S ribosomal RNA". It matches the Rfam family "Archaeal small subunit ribosomal RNA", at positions 717 to 982 of the family's 1478-position model. The record is from RNAcentral.
AGACGUCUACAUUAGAUACCCGCGUAGUCCCAGCCGUAAACUAUGCGCGUUAGGUGUAUCGGUGACCACGAGUCACCGAGGUGCCGAAGGGAAACCGUGAAACGUGCCGCCUGGGAAGUACGGUCGCAAGGCUGAAACUUAAAGGAAUUAGCGGGGAGCACCACAACGGGUGGAGCCUGCGGUUUAAUUGGACUCAACGCCGGGAAGCUCACCGGAUAAGACAGCGGAAUGAUUGCCGGGCUGAAGACUCUGCAUGACUAGCUG